CACCGCCCGUCACAUCACGAAAGUGGGCUGUACUAGAAGUGGCUGAGCUAACCCGCAAGGGUGGCAGGUUACGACGGUAUGGUUCAUGAUUGGGGUG
RNAcentral lists this ribosomal RNA (97 nucleotides) under uncultured bacterium. RNAcentral's name for it is "partial 16S ribosomal RNA". It matches the Rfam family "Bacterial small subunit ribosomal RNA", at positions 1388 to 1482 of the family's 1533-position model. The record is from RNAcentral.